Molecule: ribosomal RNA, 377 nt
Filed under: uncultured bacterium
Lineage: Bacteria
Description: bacterial SSU rRNA
Rfam family: Bacterial small subunit ribosomal RNA
Source: RNAcentral
GACGAACGCUGGCGGCGCGCUUAACACAUGCAAGUCGAACGGAGGGCAGCAAUGCCCUUAGUGGCGGACGGGUGAGUAACGCGUGAGCAACCUGCCUUACAGAGGGGGAUAACAUUGGGAAACCAGUGCUAAUACCGCAUGAGACCACGAGUCUGAGUGGACUUGAGGUCAAAGGAGAAAUCCGCUGUAAGAGGGGCUCGCGUCCCAUUAGCUAGUUGGCGGGGUAAAUGCCCACCAAGGCGACGAUGGGUAGCCGGACUGAGAGGUUGGCCGGCCACACUGGAACUGAGAAACGGUCCAGACUCCUACGGGAGGCAGCAGUGGGGAAUAUUGGGCAAUGGGGGAAACCCUGACCCAGCGACGCCGCGUGAGGGAAG